Long non-coding RNA from Gossypium arboreum, 505 nucleotides. RefSeq lists it as uncharacterized. The record is from RefSeq and is a predicted model, not a curated record. The transcript has 2 exons. NCBI's taxonomy places the organism in Eukaryota, Viridiplantae, Streptophyta, Magnoliopsida, Malvales, Malvaceae.
UCAUUCUUUCCAAACAGCUUGAAAGUUUUUUUCCAAACCCUUAUAGCCUCCCCUCCCUUUUUAGUCGAUUGGGCUUCGCCAGCGCCUAAUAUGCCUCCAUCUCCGUCGAGGCUUUAACCAGAUCCCCAGGGAUCCGUCUGCCUUUGGAUCGGAGAAGCAAAUGUCAACUAGGUCGACACCGAAUCAACAGUUUGCAGGUACAGGGUACGAGGCCAGCUGUGGCGUACGGCUCGUUGACGCGGAGGCGUGGUUGUGGCUGUGGCACAAGGAGGCCGUACAACGCUGAAGGCUGGGGGCUGCGGCGCUCCUUGCUGCUAGGGUUUGCUAGCUUAGCUAAACCUAAGUUUAGAUUUUGGGCCAUUGGGCCCCGUUGUAAAUGAGUAUCUGAGUUUGUUAUUAGGCUCGUAUUGGGUUUGGGUUUAGCUUUGUUUGGGUUUGGAUUGGUUGUAACUGGACUUGAACUGCUGGCUUGAAUUUAAUUUUAUUAUUAGUUUUGGUUUCUAUA